UUUAUGGAGAGUUUGAUCCUGGCUCAGGAUGAACGCUGGCGGCGUGCCUAAUACAUGCAAGUCGAGCGAACAGACGAGAAGCUUGCUUCUCUGAUGUUAGCGGCGGACGGGUGAGUAACACGUGGAUAACCUACCUAUAAGACUGGGAUAACUUCGGGAAACCGGAGCUAAUACCGGAUAAUAUUUUGAACCGCAUGGUUCAAAAGUGAAAGACGGUCUUGCUGUCACUUAUAGAUGGAUCCGCGCUGCAUUAGCUAGUUGGUAAGGUAACGGCUUACCAAGGCAACGAUGCAUAGCCGACCUGAGAGGGUGAUCGGCCACACUGGAACUGAGACACGGUCCAGACUCCUACGGGAGGCAGCAGUAGGGAAUCUUCCGCAAUGGGCGAAAGCCUGACGGAGCAACGCCGCGUGAGUGAUGAAGGUCUUCGGAUCGUAAAACUCUGUUAUUAGGGAAGAACAUAUGUGUAAGUAACUGUGCACAUCUUGACGGUACCUAAUCAGAAAGCCACGGCUAACUACGUGCCAGCAGCCGCGGUAAUACGUAGGUGGCAAGCGUUAUCCGGAAUUAUUGGGCGUAAAGCGCGCGUAGGCGGUUUUUUAAGUCUGAUGUGAAAGCCCACGGCUCAACCGUGGAGGGUCAUUGGAAACUGGAAAACUUGAGUGCAGAAGAGGAAAGUGGAAUUCCAUGUGUAGCGGUGAAAUGCGCAGAGAUAUGGAGGAACACCAGUGGCGAAGGCGACUUUCUGGUCUGUAACUGACGCUGAUGUGCGAAAGCGUGGGGAUCAAACAGGAUUAGAUACCCUGGUAGUCCACGCCGUAAACGAUGAGUGCUAAGUGUUAGGGGGUUUCCGCCCCUUAGUGCUGCAGCUAACGCAUUAAGCACUCCGCCUGGGGAGUACGACCGCAAGGUUGAAACUCAAAGGAAUUGACGGGGACCCGCACAAGCGGUGGAGCAUGUGGUUUAAUUCGAAGCAACGCGAAGAACCUUACCAAAUCUUGACAUCCUUUGACAACUCUAGAGAUAGAGCCUUCCCCUUCGGGGGACAAAGUGACAGGUGGUGCAUGGUUGUCGUCAGCUCGUGUCGUGAGAUGUUGGGUUAAGUCCCGCAACGAGCGCAACCCUUAAGCUUAGUUGCCAUCAUUAAGUUGGGCACUCUAAGUUGACUGCCGGUGACAAACCGGAGGAAGGUGGGGAUGACGUCAAAUCAUCAUGCCCCUUAUGAUUUGGGCUACACACGUGCUACAAUGGACAAUACAAAGGGCAGCGAAACCGCGAGGUCAAGCAAAUCCCAUAAAGUUGUUCUCAGUUCGGAUUGUAGUCUGCAACUCGACUACAUGAAGCUGGAAUCGCUAGUAAUCGUAGAUCAGCAUGCUACGGUGAAUACGUUCCCGGGUCUUGUACACACCGCCCGUCACACCACGAGAGUUUGUAACACCCGAAGCCGGUGGAGUAACCUUUUAGGAGCUAGCCGUCGAAGGUGGGACAAAUGAUUGGGGUGAAGUCGUAACAAGGUAGCCGUAUCGGAAGGUGCGGCUGGAUCACCUCCUUU
This 1552-nucleotide ribosomal RNA is filed under the name Staphylococcus aureus. RNAcentral describes it as "16S ribosomal RNA". It matches the Rfam family "Bacterial small subunit ribosomal RNA". The record is from RNAcentral. Lineage: Bacteria; Bacillati; Bacillota; Bacilli; Caryophanales; Staphylococcaceae. RNAcentral also lists the same sequence under 1 other name.